RNAcentral lists this ribosomal RNA (252 nucleotides) under uncultured bacterium. Its description in RNAcentral is "partial 16S ribosomal RNA". It matches the Rfam family "Bacterial small subunit ribosomal RNA", at positions 524 to 776 of the family's 1533-position model. The record is from RNAcentral.
UACAGAGGUCUCAAGCGUUGUUCGGAUUCAUUGGCGUAAAGAGCUCGUAGGCGGUUUGUCGCGUCUGCCGUGAAAGUCCGGGGCUCAACUCCGGAUCUGCGGUGGGUACGGGCAGACUAGAGUGAUGUAGGGGAGACUGGAAUUCCUGGUGUAGCGGUGAAAUGCGCAGAUAUCAGGAGGAACACCGGUGGCGAAGGCGGGUCUCUGGGCCGUAACUGACGCUGAGGAGCGAAAGCAUGGGGAGCGAACAGG